RNAcentral lists this ribosomal RNA (659 nucleotides) under uncultured fungus. RNAcentral's name for it is "eukaryotic LSU rRNA". The stretch from base 250 to 403 matches the Rfam family "5.8S ribosomal RNA". The record is from RNAcentral. Lineage: Eukaryota; Fungi.
AGUAAAAGUCGUAACAAGGUUUCCGUAGGUGAACCUGCGGAAGGAUCAUUAUUGAAUCAUAGUAGGUUGUGCUGGCUCUAUCUGAACAAGUGCACGCCUGCUCCAAAACAUUCAAACCUCUGUGCACUUUUCAUAGAAUAGCUUGUAAAUUGAGUGACUUGUGUCAUUUGGCUUGCAGCUACUCUGUGUCUUUUUAUAAACCUUUAUUAUCAGUUUAGAAUGUCUUUGUGUAAAUACACAUUUUUAUACAACUUUCGGCAACGGAUCUCUUGGCUCUCGCAUCGAUGAAGAACGCAGCGAAAUGCGAUAAGUAAUGUGAAUUGCAGAAUUCAGUGAAUCAUCGAAUCUUUGAACGCACCUUGCGCUCCUUGGUAUUCCGAGGAGCAUGCCUGUUUGAGUGUCAUGGUAUUCUCAAUUCCUUUGUUCUUGUUCGAACAAAGUGAUAUUGGACUUGGAGGCAUUUUGCUGGCGAUAACAAGUCAGCUCCUCUCAAAACUAUCAGCGUGAAGGGUCACCUUAUGCUCAGUGUGAUAAUUAUCUGCAUUGCGCUCGGUGCUACUUUUUCAGGCUUCGAAUCGUCUUCGGACAAUUUUAUUGACAUCUGACCUCAAAUCAGGUAGGACUACCCGCUGAACUUAAGCAUAUCAAUAAGCGGAGGA